Molecule: ribosomal RNA, 1129 nt
Filed under: uncultured organism
Description: bacterial SSU rRNA
Rfam family: Bacterial small subunit ribosomal RNA
Source: RNAcentral
GGUGAGUAACGCGUAUGGAACCUACCUAAAACAGGAGGAUAGCCUUCGGAAACGGGGAUUAAUACUCCAUAUUAUUUAUCAAUGGCCUCAUUGAUAGAUAAAAGCUACGGCGGUUUUAGAUGGCCAUGCGUACCAUUAGUUAGUUGGUAAGGUAACGGCUUACCAAGGCGAUGAUGGUUAGGGGUCCUGAGAGGGUAAACCCCCACACUGGUACUGAGACACGGACCAGACUUCUACGGAAGGCAGCAGUGAGGAAUAUUGGUCAAUGGGCGCAAGCCUGAACCAGCCAUGCCGCGUGCAGGAAGACGGCCCUACGGGUUGUAAACUGCUUUUCUAUGGGAAGAAUUCCUACCUAUAUAGGUGGGUUGACGGUACCACAGGAAUAAGCAUCGGCUAACUCCGUGCCAGCAGCCGCGGUAAUACGGAGGAUGCAAGCGUUAUCCGGAUUUAUUGGGUUUAAAGGGUGCGCAGGCGGUGGAACAAGUCAGUGGUGAAAGCCCGGGGCUUAACUUCGGGAUUGCCAUUGAAACUGUUUCACUUGAGUGUAGUUGAGGACGGCGGAAUGAGUUGUGUAGCGGUGAAAUGCAUAGAUAUAACUCAGAACACCAAUUGCGAAGGCAGCUGUCUAGACUACAACUGACGCUGAGGCACGAAAGCGUGGGUAGCGAACAGGAUUAGAUACCCUGGUAGUCCACGCUGUAAACGAUGAUCACUCGUUGUUGGCUACUUAGUAGUCAGUGACUAAGGGAAACCGAUAAGUGAUCCACCUGGGGAGUACGUCGGCAACGAUGAAACUCAAAGGAAUUGACGGGGGCCCGCACAAGCGGAGGAACAUGUGGUUUAAUUCGAUGAUACGCGAGGAACCUUACCUGGGCUUAAAUGCUGGCUGCAUUCACGCGAAAGCGUGAUUUCCUACGGGACCGCCAGCAAGGUGCUGCAUGGUUGUCGUCAGCUCGUGCCGUGAGGUGUCAGGGUCAAGUCCCAUAGGGAGCGCAACCCCUAUCGUUGUUUCCAGCAUGUAAUGGUGGGGACUCUAUCGAGACUGCCGGUGUAAACCGGAGGAAGGUGGGGAUGACGUCAAAUCAGCACGUCCCUUACGUCCAGGGCUACACUCGUGUUACAAUGGCCG